RNAcentral lists this ribosomal RNA (465 nucleotides) under Vreelandella stevensii. RNAcentral's name for it is "partial 16S ribosomal RNA". It matches the Rfam family "Bacterial small subunit ribosomal RNA", at positions 338 to 795 of the family's 1533-position model. The record is from RNAcentral. Lineage: Bacteria; Pseudomonadati; Pseudomonadota; Gammaproteobacteria; Oceanospirillales; Halomonadaceae.
CCUACGGGGGGCUGCAGUGGGGAAUAUUGGACAAUGGGGGGAACCCUGAUCCAGCCAUGCCGCGUGUGUGAAGAAGGCCCUCGGGUUGUAAAGCACUUUCAGUGAGGAAGAACGCCUGGUGGUUAAUACCCAUCAGGAAAGACAUCACUCACAGAAGAAGCACCGGCUAACUCCGUGCCAGCAGCCGCGGUAAUACGGAGGGUGCGGGCGUUAAUCGGAAUUACUGGGCGUAAAGCGCGCGUAGGUGGCUUGAUAAGCCGGUUGUGAAAGCCCCGGGCUCAACCUGGGAACGGCAUCCGGAACUGUCAAGCUAGAGUGCAGGAGAGGAAGGUAGAAUUCCCGGUGUAGCGGUGAAAUGCGUAGAGAUCGGGAGGAAUACCAGUGGCGAAGGCGGCCUUCUGGACUGACACUGACACUGAGGUGCGAAAGCGUGGGUAGCAAACAGGAUUAGAUACCAUUGUAGUC